GACCUGAUAGCACAAUGGUUAGUGUGUCUACUCUACUUGAACAUUGUAUGUGUUUUAAGCAGAAGAUCCCUGUUCGAUUCAGGGUCAGGUCA
This is a non-coding RNA of Mycena metata, 92 nucleotides long. NCBI's taxonomy places the organism in Eukaryota, Fungi, Basidiomycota, Agaricomycetes, Agaricales, Mycenaceae. The record is from the annotation of a GenBank genome assembly.